UCGACGAGUUUGAUCAUGGCUCAGAACGAACGCUGGCGGCAGGCCUAACACAUGCAAGUCGAGCGCCCCGCAAGGGGAGCGGCGCACGGGUGAGUAACGCGUGGGAAUAUGCCCUGGGGCUGGGGAUAACGGCGGGAAACUGCCGCUAAUACCCGGUACGCCAUGAGUGGGAAAGGAGCAAUCCGCCCUGGGAGUAGCCCGCGUUGGAUUAGCUAGUUGGUGUGGUAAGAGCGCACCAAGGCGACGAUCCAUAGCUGGUCUGAGAGGAUGAUCAGCCACACUGGGACUGAGACACGGCCCAGACUCCUACGGGAGGCAGCAGUGGGGAAUAUUGGACAAUGGGGGCAACCCUGAUCCAGCCAUGCCGCGUGAGUGAAGAAGGCCCUAGGGUUGUAAAGCUCUUUCGCACGCGACGAUGAUGACGGUAGCGUGAGAAGAAGCCCCGGNUAACUUCGUG
Molecule: ribosomal RNA, 457 nt
Filed under: uncultured bacterium
Lineage: Bacteria
Description: bacterial SSU rRNA
Rfam family: Bacterial small subunit ribosomal RNA
Source: RNAcentral